GUGAAUCAUCGAAUCUUUGAACGCAAAUUGCACUCUCUUCGGAGAGUAUGCCUGUUUGAGGGUCAGCCUAAAAAAAAUCUACAUAGUUGCUGUUACGCGGUAACAUUCGUCUGACAUUGGGUCAUAUUAAACCUGUUGGUGUAAGCGGCUUAAAAUUUUCUUUACGAUUCCUAGAACGUUUCUAAGAUUUUAUUUUCUUUUACGUUUAAGGUAUCGAUCUUUAGUAGACGUGGCCGUUGUAUUGGAUC
RNAcentral lists this unclassified non-coding RNA (248 nucleotides) under Glomus sp. Its description in RNAcentral is "partial contains 5.8S ribosomal RNA and internal transcribed spacer 2". The stretch from base 1 to 65 matches the Rfam family "5.8S ribosomal RNA", at positions 84 to 154 of the family's 154-position model. The record is from RNAcentral. Lineage: Eukaryota; Fungi; Glomeromycota; Glomeromycetes; Glomerales; Glomeraceae.